Malurus melanocephalus (red-backed fairy wren) is the source of this 140-nucleotide small nucleolar RNA. RefSeq annotates it as small nucleolar RNA SNORA12. NCBI's taxonomy places the organism in Eukaryota, Metazoa, Chordata, Aves, Passeriformes, Maluridae. The transcript has a single exon. The record is from RefSeq and is a predicted model, not a curated record.
UAGUGUGGUGGUUGCUGUUUGUGGCAGAUCUGUAAGUGUAUCAGAUCUGUAUCAGAACUCCCACAGACAUCAGAAAGGAGAAGGCUGUGCUGAGAACUUCAAGCUUUCMGUUUUCAGCUCUCUGUCCAGCUCCUACAGGA